Podarcis muralis (Common wall lizard) is the source of this 1292-nucleotide non-coding RNA. NCBI's taxonomy places the organism in Eukaryota, Metazoa, Chordata, Lepidosauria, Squamata, Lacertidae. The record is from RefSeq and is a predicted model, not a curated record.
CGACGGCGCUUGGGGGAGGAGGGAGGGAGAACACACACAGGUGAAACAGAUGGACCAGAUGCCGGACAGGUGAGCCCCCGAUUUCUGGAAAGAGCCUUGUUUCCCCGCCCCCUAGAGCAGCGCUCAGCCCCGGAACCUUUUUCAGCAGCCGAGGUGGAACCAAGAACAACGAGGUUCCUUCUGAGCGUGUGCAGAGCGUGGGCGCAAUUGCGUCUGGAGUCAGUGGGAGGGCUCCGAUCUGGCGGGGUGGUUUUAUACCACCUACUUGUUUUCAAAUCACAAAAUCGCAGAGUUGGAAAAGGGAUUCUGAGAUUCAUCUAGUCUGACCCCCACCCCACCCCCGCGCAAUGCGGGACUAUGUAGCUUCCCCAUGCAGGGAUCGAACCUGCAACCUUCACAUUAUCAGCACCGCGCUCUGACCAGCUGAGCCAUCUCGUUGCUAUGUGCAGCUUGCUACCCCGACGUGGCUUUUCCUCCAAGAAGAAUACGCACCAAGAAUGAAGGUCCUAACAGCAGGUGAUUAGGCUGGCCUGUUUGGUACCAACAGCGAGAGGAAGGUAGCAGGAAAAAACCUUGAUGUUGUGGAUGGAAUUACACAAAGCUCAUAAGAGAAUGUCAGGUAAAGACACUGGAACUUUACCCAGGCAUAUGAAUGACAUCUACAGUGCCAAGGAUGGACAAGACACUUUCCCCACUGUUGCUGUCUCUCAAUUCCCCACUUUUUUUUCCUUUGAGAAGCAACACACUCCACCUGAUCACACUCCCCUGGCAGAGAAUUACUGAGCCUGCAUUGUUCAGGAGCAGCAGGAGCUAGCCUUUCUGUUCCUCAACGCCCCUUCAGAGUCUGGUCUUCUCCAGUUGAUUUCCAUUCAUCAUGAUCCAUGGAUAAACAUCUGAUAGAAGGAAAAGAUGCAGCGCACUAGAGCAGGAAAGAAUUAGUAGGCCUACAGGCAUUCCACAGAUCUGAUCCAACGGCUCAGGAAGAAAUUAUAAACUGGGGUGUGCUAGGCUCCGGAUUGGUCCCUUUCGCUAUAGAAGGUAGAAAGGGGACCCAGAAUGUGCUGCUCCCUACCACGUUGUCCUCUCCUGUUCAUCUUGGCCCUCAACUCUAUGGGCAUUGCUGUCAUUUCCUUCACACAGCUGCCGUGUAAAACAGCAUUGGGCUGUUAUGUUUCCACACUACAGGCAUUUAGAAGCUGCUCUGCACUUUUAUGAUUAAGUGGGCGCAAGACAUUGGUUAUAACAUUAUGUUUGCUGACUGGGAACAGUUAUGGACCACUGGUGUGAAAUUU